AGGUAAGCUACUAAGAGCGAAUGGUGGAUGCCUUGACUGGUAGAGGCGAUGAAGGACGUACUAGACUGCGAUAAGCUAGGUGGAGCUGUCAAGAAGCUUUGAUGCCUAGAUUUCCGAAUGGGGCAACCCAGUAUAUAGAGAUAUAUACUACCAUAAUGGAGCGAACGAGGGGAAUUGAAACAUCUUAGUACCCUCAGGAAAAGAAAUCAAACGAGAUUGCGUCAGUAGCGGCGAGCGAAAGCGUAAGAGGGCAAACCCAGUGCUUGCACUGGGGGUUGUAGGACUGCAAUGUGCAAGAGGAAAGGUUAGCAGAACACUCUGGAAAGUGUAGCCAUAGAGGGUGAUAGUCCCGUAUGCAAAAACCUAACCUUAGCUAGCAGUAUCCUGAGUAGGGCGGGACACGAGAAAUCCUGUCUGAAGCUGGGUAGACCACUAUCCAACCCUAAAUACUACUACCAGAUCGAUAGCGAACAAGUACCGUGAGGGAAAGGUGAAAAGAACGGCGGUGAGCCGAGUGAAAUAGAACCUGAAACCAUUUGCUUACAAUCAUUCAGAGCACUAUGUAGCAAUACAGUGUGAUGGACUGCCUUUUGCAUAAUGAGCCUGCGAGUUGUGGUGUCUGGCAAGGUUAAGCUAACGCGAAGCCGUAGCGAAAGCGAGUCUGAAUAGGGCGCUAAGUCAGAUGCUGCAGACCCGAAACGAAGUGAUCUAUCCAUGAGCAGGUUGAAGCUAGUGUAAGAACUAGUGGAGGACCGAACCCGCUAGCGUUGAAAAGCUAUGGGAUGACUUGUGGAUAGGGGUGAAAGGCCAAUCAAACUUCGUGAUAGCUGGUUCUCUCCGAAAUAUAUUUAGGUAUAGCGUUGUGUCGUAACUAAAGGGGGUAGAGCACUGAAUGGGCUAGGGCAUACACCAAUGUACCAAACCCUAUCAAACUCCGAAUACCUUUAGUGUAAUCACAGCAGUCAGGCGGCGAGUGAUAAAAUCCGUCGUCAAGAGGGAAACAACCCAGACUAACAGCUAAGGUCCCCAAAUCUUACUUAAGUGGAAAACGAUGUGAAGUUACUUAAACAACCAGGAGGUUGGCUUAGAAGCAGCCAUCCUUUAAAGAAAGCGUAAUAGCUCACUGGUCUAGU
Molecule: ribosomal RNA, 1133 nt
Filed under: Campylobacter upsaliensis
Lineage: Bacteria; Pseudomonadati; Campylobacterota; Epsilonproteobacteria; Campylobacterales; Campylobacteraceae
Description: partial 23S ribosomal RNA
Rfam family: Bacterial large subunit ribosomal RNA
Source: RNAcentral